RNAcentral lists this ribosomal RNA (237 nucleotides) under uncultured bacterium. Its description in RNAcentral is "partial 16S ribosomal RNA". It matches the Rfam family "Bacterial small subunit ribosomal RNA", at positions 93 to 334 of the family's 1533-position model. The record is from RNAcentral.
CGAGCGCGAACGGGUGAGUAACGCGUGGAUUAUCUGCCCUGAGGUGGGGGAUAACCCGGGGAAACUCGGGCUAAUACCGCAUAUGACCGCGAGGUCAAAGGGGGGUCGCAAGAUCUCUCGCCAUAGGAGGAGUCCGCGUCCGAUUAGCUAGUUGGUAGGGUAAUGGCCUACCAAGGCGACGAUCGGUAGCCGGCCUGAGAGGGUGAUCGGCCACACUGGAACUGAGACACGGUCCAG